UUGAAAGACGGCCUAAUACCGUAUGAUAUCGUUUUGCUGACAUCAAAAUAACGAUUAAAAGGGGUUUAGCGGUUAUGGAUGGGGAUGCGUCUGAUUAGCUUGUUGGCGGGGUAACGGCCCACCAAGGCGACGAUCAGUAGGGGUUCCUGAGAGGAAGGUCCCCCACAUUGGAACUGAGACACGGUCCAAACUCCUACGGGGAGGCAGCAGUGAGGAAUAUUGGUCAAUGGGCGAGAGCCUGAACCAGCCAAGUAGCGUGCAGGACGACGGCCCUAUGGGUUGUAAACUGCUUUUAUGUGGGGAUAAAGUGCGUGACGUGUCAUGCAUUGCAGGUACCACAUGAAUAAGGACCGGCUAAUUCCGUGCCAGCAGCCGCGGUAAU
Molecule: ribosomal RNA, 382 nt
Filed under: uncultured Prevotella sp.
Lineage: Bacteria; Pseudomonadati; Bacteroidota; Bacteroidia; Bacteroidales; Prevotellaceae
Description: bacterial SSU rRNA
Rfam family: Bacterial small subunit ribosomal RNA
Source: RNAcentral